RNAcentral lists this ribosomal RNA (373 nucleotides) under uncultured eukaryote. RNAcentral's name for it is "partial 18S ribosomal RNA". It matches the Rfam family "Eukaryotic small subunit ribosomal RNA", at positions 592 to 976 of the family's 1831-position model. The record is from RNAcentral.
CAAUAGCGUAUAUUAAAGUUGUUGCAGUUAAAAAGCUCGUAGUUGAAUUUUUGCUUGCCGCCGAUGUCGGAACUUCCGUACGUUCGGCGGCGUGCAUCCUUGGGUGGAACCUGUGUGGCAUUAGGUUGUCGUGCAGGGGAUGCUCAUCGUUUACUGUGAAAAAAUUAGAGUGUUCAAAGCAGGCUUAUGCCGUUGAAUAUAUUAGCAUGGAAUAAUAAGAUAGGACCUUGGUACUAUUUUGUUGGUUUGCGCACCGAGGUAAUGAUUAACAGGGACAGUUGGGGGUAUUCGUAUUCCAUUGUCAGAGGUGAAAUUCUUGGAUUUCUGGAGGACGAACUACUGCGAAAGCAUUUACCAAGGAUGUUUUCAUUAA